Long non-coding RNA from Thalassophryne amazonica, 98 nucleotides. RefSeq lists it as uncharacterized. NCBI's taxonomy places the organism in Eukaryota, Metazoa, Chordata, Actinopteri, Batrachoidiformes, Batrachoididae. The transcript has 3 exons. The record is from RefSeq and is a predicted model, not a curated record.
UAAGGCGGGGUGUGAGAUGACUUGGAUGAGAAUCAGCACCUCCAAAUGUGAGACCAUGGUCCUCUGUCAAAAAAGGUGGAUUGUCCUCUCUGGGUCAG